GACGAACGCUGGCGGCGUGCUUAACACAUGCAAGUCGAGCGGUAAGGCCUCGGGUACGACGAGCGGCGAACGGUGAGUAACACGUGGGUGACCUGCCUCUAGCUCUGGGAUAAGCCUGGGAAACUGGGCCUAAUACCGGAUAUGACUCCACGGCGCAUGUUGUGGGGUGGAAAGCCUUGUGUGGCUAGAGAUGGGCCCGCGGCCUAUCAGCUUGUUGGUGGGGUG
RNAcentral lists this ribosomal RNA (225 nucleotides) under uncultured bacterium. RNAcentral's name for it is "partial 16S ribosomal RNA". It matches the Rfam family "Bacterial small subunit ribosomal RNA", at positions 28 to 259 of the family's 1533-position model. The record is from RNAcentral.